GGAGCGGUAGUUCAGAGUCGGUUAGAAUACCGGCCUGUCACGCCGGGGGUCGCGGGUUCGAGUCCCGUCCGCUCCGCCA
RNAcentral lists this transfer RNA (79 nucleotides) under Burkholderia pseudomallei. Its description in RNAcentral is "tRNA-Asp(gtc)". It matches the Rfam family "tRNA". From Rfam's summary of the family: Transfer RNA (tRNA) molecules are approximately 80 nucleotides in length. Their secondary structure includes four short double-helical elements and three loops (D, anti-codon, and T loops). The record is from RNAcentral. Lineage: Bacteria; Pseudomonadati; Pseudomonadota; Betaproteobacteria; Burkholderiales; Burkholderiaceae.